RNAcentral lists this ribosomal RNA (594 nucleotides) under Triticum aestivum (bread wheat). RNAcentral's name for it is "partial small subunit ribosomal RNA". Lineage: Eukaryota; Viridiplantae; Streptophyta; Magnoliopsida; Poales; Poaceae. The record is from RNAcentral.
AUGGAAACUCUUGCCGCUCUAGCAGUAGAUCAAAUCCAUGGCAGUACUGCUACUCGCCUCCCUCCACCCGGCGAGGAGGAACUCUGCUCCACUUCCGGAUCCUCGCGCCCAAGCCCUUCAUCUCCUCCACCUGCAGAUACAGAGAACACAGACGCACGGUGUAAAAUUUGCCGCAUCCAGAUCGAGAAUCCGUCACACGGAUGCGGGGGGUUUUGGCUCCGGCGACUUACCGAUCCGACGCCCGCCGCGGACACUCCGGCGGUGACGGUCGUGGCGCCGGCGCCGACGAAGAGCGAGGCGACGGCGAACGCCCUGAACGGCAUCGUCAUGUCGCUGCCGCCCUUGCCUCGCCGGAACCAAACCAGCGCGCCGGUGAUCUGGGCCGCACUCGCUCCAAGCCACCAGGGCCAUGCCUUGCCCUUCUUCCCGCCGCCUCCACCCAGCUCAUCCAUCACCGCCGCCGCCGCCGCCGCCGCUAGGUUAUUUGGGGGACACCACAGCUCGGUGGGAGUUGCAAACUAUGCACACACUGAAACACACAAGGCUCACCGACACGUGGGGUCCUUGGCAGGCCGUGUCAUGUCCAUCCACUGA